CCACAAUAUUUUUGAAUGAGAAUUUACCCUUUGUAUAAGUGCCCGGUGAGCUUAGGAAAAUUCUGCACAUAAUGGCUGUUCUAAAUUCUGAUGUUACAAUCUGCAACUCUUGCAGCGCUGAGUUGCUGGGGGAACACUUAGCAACUGGGAGGGGUGGAGCAGUGAGAGCCCAGCUGGGAGUAAAGUUUUCAUUAGCGGCGGCGGGCGCUUGGACCGGGGCUUCCCCUCACAAGUUUAGUUUCCCCCCUUUGUAAGGAGCAAGGAUUCCACCCGGCUGCACCCAGCUGGCACGUGCGGUGAGGGUCUCGUGAGAGUGAACACUGCAGGCGCAGCUCAGGGCUGACACGUGGAGGCGCUCAGUGGACCUACAGUCCUGCUACACGCAGGUGCAGCCUCCCCUGGGCCCUCGCGCCUGGCUCCGCCUCCUGCCUCCCAGGACGCCCCGCCCACCGCAUUAUGCCUGGGUCGGAGCCGCGGGGAGCUCGAGGUUCCACUCGCCAGGCUGUCACACGGAGACCAACCACCCCCAUGACUUCAGGGCCUUCCAGUCCUCUGGGCUCCUAACUUGCUGUCCCUUCUCAGGAGACUACCUUCUCCUUUACCCCGGCUCUGCAGUGACCCCCAGCACAUGUCUCCUGGAGCCAGUACUCGCCUGGUAGCCUGUGUAUCAGAUGUGGCAUAAGGAGGUGGAGAGCCCUUGCUUUGAAAAGUGCCUACAGAGCAGUUUCACCCCUCUGUGAACAUGAACGAGCCUUGGCAAGCAUGCGGCUGAAUCACAGUCUUGGUGACACAGAGCACGUGGCGUCAAAUUGCCCAGAAGUAUGACUGGCACCCCAGCCUGUGCCUUCGCACCCCAAAGGAGGACCCGCUGUCAACACAGAACAAGGGAUCCAAAGAUGAGCCUUCUGGUUUUCUAAAAGCCAGUUGUUGAGUUUCAAGGCCUUCUCCGUACAUGGUGAAUUCCUUGAAGGCAGCUGAAGUAACCACUAAUUUUUUUUUUUUUUUUUUUAACCUACCUAGGAUAAGUGCCUUUUUCUGAGAGGAGUAAAUGCCUCUGUGUGUGCCAA
Molecule: long non-coding RNA, 1067 nt
Organism: Bubalus bubalis (water buffalo)
Lineage: Eukaryota; Metazoa; Chordata; Mammalia; Artiodactyla; Bovidae
Exons: 3
Source: RefSeq, a predicted model, not a curated record